GCCUUCGGAGGGUAACGGUAGCAUACUCGCCUGGUAUUUGAGAGGCCCAGGUUCGAGUUCCGGCGAGGGCA
This 71-nucleotide transfer RNA is filed under the name Stegodyphus mimosarum. It matches the Rfam family "tRNA". Rfam says of the family: Transfer RNA (tRNA) molecules are approximately 80 nucleotides in length. Their secondary structure includes four short double-helical elements and three loops (D, anti-codon, and T loops). The record is from Rfam by way of RNAcentral. Lineage: Eukaryota; Metazoa; Arthropoda; Arachnida; Araneae; Eresidae.